RNAcentral lists this microRNA precursor (63 nucleotides) under Sphenodon punctatus (tuatara). RNAcentral describes it as "Spt-Mir-221-P1a_pre stem-loop". It matches the Rfam family "mir-221 microRNA precursor family", at positions 11 to 73 of the family's 84-position model. The record is from RNAcentral. Lineage: Eukaryota; Metazoa; Chordata; Lepidosauria; Sphenodontia; Sphenodontidae.
CGCUCAGUAGUCAGUGUAGAUUCUGUCUCUUCAAUCAGCAGCUACAUCUGGCUACUGGGUCUC